Molecule: non-coding RNA, 458 nt
Organism: Microcebus murinus (gray mouse lemur)
Lineage: Eukaryota; Metazoa; Chordata; Mammalia; Primates; Cheirogaleidae
Source: RefSeq, a predicted model, not a curated record
CUUGAGGGGAACAGCUUGCCUGGGUCACUCCCUGCCUAGUCAUCCCCUGACCCCAACCAGAAACCCAGUCUCGGCUUCCCCCUUCCAGGGGUCCCACCCUCUGAGUUACCUUUGGUGAAAGUCUAACAAAUACAGGGCAAAGCAAGCAACCUGAAAUCCAGAGAAGUCAUUAAAAAAACCCCUUCUGGCUGUAACCUGAAAGCAUCUUCCAAGCCAGACUGGGGGUAGAGAUGAUGACUCCAACUUCAGUGGGCCUCUUCUUCAAUAGGGGAGCAGCCAGAGAAGAAGCUGGAUCUAGGAAAGACACAGAGGCAGGUAUGAAUAUACCUUGGAAAGGGGCAGAAGCUCAGCCCAGCCAAGCCACUGCAAAUGGUUGACAUACUCUCAGUAGGAUGAGUUGUCCCCUAAGAUUGCUCUAUGAAAAAAAUAAAUAAACUCCAGUCUGUGCCUGACUCCCA